This is a non-coding RNA of Meleagris gallopavo (turkey), 6507 nucleotides long. Lineage: Eukaryota; Metazoa; Chordata; Aves; Galliformes; Phasianidae. The record is from RefSeq and is a predicted model, not a curated record.
AAGGUAGAUUCUACUGUCUCAUUGCCUAUUCAUACUGUGUGGCCUCAUGUUGUCUUUUUUCUUACUUAGUCAUUCUUAAGUGUGUUUUUUUUCUGCAGAAUGUGAGCAUCUGUUUUUUUGUGCAUGUUAGUUUGGGAAAAAAAAAAAAAAAAGGAAGUGAAUAUGCCCUUUCUGAUCUCAAUGUCGUGUUAAGGAGAAAUCUGACUUAAUAAAUACGUAAGAGGAAUAAUCUCAAAAAUGUUAAUAGAUUCCAAGAGCUAAACACCUCUCCCUUCUUUGUGACUUUCCAGGAUGCUUUUGGGAAAGUUACCUCUCCUGAAUAUCAGGAGCACAAGAACAGGAACCACAGCCUCUUGUCGUACCAGAAUGCAUUUUGGCUAACUGUAUAAAACCAGUACAGUUCUGAGAUAGCUGUAAUGAAUCAGAACUGAGAGUCAGACAGGAAAGAAAUCCAUGGUAAAUUUAUGUGAAAACUUGCCAGUUUCUAACAAGCCAUGGUGCAACUCAGUUUUUGAAGCUUGGUAAAAUUCUAAGGUGAUGCCUUCAUUUGUAAACAAACGAAAUUUAGAAGUGUUAUUUUACAAGAUUUUUUCCAUGUCAGUUUUCGAGUUUAAAUAAGUUUUUAUGAUAAUAAAUUCUUAACUUAUUGUAAAGAGAUCUACAAAGCAAAAUUCAAAUAGAGAUAUAACUAUAAUGGCUUUACUGGUAACCACUACACUAGCUGGCUGCUGGAGACAACAAUAUUAGCAAAGACAGAUAUAGUGCAAUAUAUAACAAACUUGAAGAACUGAAAUCCAUAGUGGUUCUUUUACUGUGACCAGAUGGUGCCCUAUGGAGAGGACAAAUUCCAGUGAAAUUGAUUUACUGUCUUUUGUUUAGCUGCUUACAGAUUGUAUUUAUGAUCAGAAUGAAAAUUCAUGUAAUGUGGUUUGCUGUGUAAACAUUGUGCUUGUUCUAAUACAGAGAUCAAAUAACCUUGAAGGACUGUGAACAUUCAAACACAAUUGAGCUAAUAUUGGAAGAAUAUUGCUUUCUGAGAUAUUGCAAAACACACAUUGUAAGAACACCUUUUCUUACAGUGUUUAAUGCUAUAGAGGAAACUUCACGUAUCGUUUCCGCAGUCGUGAAACAUGGCCAUUCAGUAUUUCUACAAAGCCUGUAAUCACCUGCUACAGGUCCUGAUUGGUUUUCUCUUUACAUUUUCAUCACCUUGUUUUUAUAUUUACUUUCUUAUCACGUUGUUCUAGUUCUUUGUGCUAACAUUUGACAGGCACAGUUCUGGGUUGCUGAUUGGAAUGUGAGUUGUUCUGUAAAAUAUGCAGUUUGAGUGGGGAUUGUUUUGUGGUUGUCUUUUCACUCCACCUGUGGAUCAGGUAUGUUCUGCUACAAGGGAAAUGGAUACAUGAAAUAAAGGGCAGUGAUGAACCAUAAGCUAAUCUGAUCUCCUGGAUGGACUUGAGUAUUGCUUGAAUUCAUGUGUAAUUUCAACUUAGAUAUAGCUGAGUCCGUGACAGUACUAACUUCUCUCAUACUAUUUUACAACUUGCUUGAGUUGUCAGCAGGUUGUUAACCAACUCAGCUUUAGGGUGCUACUGGGGUCUGUUCCAAAGCCCACUGCCAGAGCAAAGUAACUGGAGAACAGUGUGUCACAUUCUCUCCCUCAAGAAAAGAAGACUUAAAUUCUGUGUCGUGAUUUGAGCUCCUCACCUGCUAGACCACCAGUGGCUCCUUCCAGAUGAAGACUCCUGCUUCAGUCCUUCAGAAUGUGACAGCUAAGUUUUUCUCAGUCUCAAAAAAAUAUAUAUUCUCAAACUGUGUACAAAGAUGCUUGUUUUAAGGAAGCAGUGGAGCUUAGUAGGCACCUCUAGGAGAAAACUUAUAAAUUUCUGGGGCUUAAAAGAGUUUUGAAAGAAUAAUGUGAAUUGCACCUAUAACAGCAAGUGCUAUGCCAUUCACGUCUGUCUGCUGUUAUGAGUUGCAUCAACAUGUUUGCCUCCAUGCCAGCUCAGCUUUUUUAUUUCCCUAACUGUUCAGGCACAGUUGGGUUUAGCAUGAUGCCUCGAAGAGAGAAGAGGAGAGAGAGUAUUCUGGGUAUCGUGAAGCCUUCUGAUUCUCAUCAAUGAGGCUAUAAAUCUGGCAAUCUGAAGCGGUUACUUUUGAAGGAAUGCUAUUAAAAAUCCACUAAAAUGAUUGAAAUUGUGGCGUUGCAGCUGACUGAAAACCCGCAAGUGAAUAUCUCUUUCACUAUACGUGCUGUAAAUUUUAUGCUGCAAACUAGAGAGAGAUUAAUUUGUUUCCACUAAUGUCAGAAUAAAUUUAGAAGUUGUUCUGAGUACGAGUGUGAAAUGAGGCAGCUGUCAGCAUGAUUUACCCCUAUCAUCGCUGAGCUGGCAACUUACUGCAGUGAGAUGAUGUUUGCAGCUCUUUUGCUGUGGCAUGCUAGGGUGACUACUGACAGCCCAUGUAAGCCCAGGCACAAUCAGUGUCCGUUUACCAAAGAGCAGGACGCUUAGGCUCUUACUUUUAGAAUCUCUUAUGUGAAGUGAUUCAUAAUCAGUGCUAUCUCUUCAUCAGCAUCUCAUAUCUUUAAAGCACAAACAAUUCCUGUGUCUGGCCCUAUUUGCCACAUUGGAAUGUUCUCUAUGCUAAGAAUCUUUGUUGCUGUGUUCCUUCGGUAGUGUUGUCUUCUUCUCGAACUCUCAUCAAAAUCAUAUAGUUAUUAAAAUCAAACGGUGCUGAAACCUGUGCUCCAAGCUACAGAUGCUCACCCCUGGUGAACAAUUGGCAAGAUGCUCUGUGGAUAGAAAAGGAAUCAAAUUGAUUCCUACUCAAUUUCCUUAAUAAUUGACCCUUCUGUGAACUAAGAAGAAAUGUGACAUUUCCUAGAGCUAAUUGGCUUAUGACUUUUCAAAGGAAACUUUAAUUUCCUCCAUUAUUCCAUGAUAUAUGAUAGUUUGACUUCCAUGCUGAGAAAUGUAGCUGUACACUUCCAGAUGAGAAUUAGUAUAUUCCAUUCCUAAUGUGGUGAGAGAAUCUGUGUCCUCAGCUGGAACGAGUUAAUACAGCUGUCUUUUCUUCAGGGAAGGCAACCCUAUGAAGAUCUGUCUGAAGAAACUUUAUUUAUUACGUUAACAAGUCUGAUACUGACGAAGGCACCAAACUCUUUUUUUUUUUUCUCUUUAUUUCUUUUUCUUUGUAUUUUUUUCAUCUGUUUGUAACUACAGAUUUUGUUGCACUGUCAGUCAUCACAGUCCUGCCUUUCCUGCUUCAACUUCCAAAUGCUUUCCUGAAAAGUUCAUCAGAGACCACACUAAAGCAUUAGGACUGGAAAGCUGUCUAGUAACAGAUGAGAUCUGACUAUAAAAUAUGAGAGAUAUAUCAUAGUAGUUGUAUUUCUUUUAUUCUGGUAUUAAAAGUGUUUUUACUUGGCAUCAAAAUAAAAUGUUAGUGGCCAAGCUGUUUAGCCAGGAUGUGUUGUUGGAGUCAGAGGAGGACAGUCAGGGAAUGACCUGGGCCAAAAUACAAUUCUGAUAAGCUCUGCUAUUGUGAACUUGCUGCUUGAAUAUUUUUUCCAGCCAAAAUUUUAUAUAACCUGUGGGGGUACACUAGGGAAGCACUUCUGUAACAGAAAUAGCAAAAGCAAAAAUGUGCAGGUGUUUUGAAGAUGGAGGAAAGUAAUGAAGACCAUAACAGUCCUUGUGGAGGACAGAUACCAAGUGAGAACUUGCACAAAUCACUUCAGUCACCUGUUGUGGAAGCCAAGGAAGUUUAUUGUAGCAUGUGGUUACAAAAGAGUAACUGAAGAUGCUAUCUCCAUUUAGAUUAAAGAGGUGAAUUAUCACCUGACUUUUUGGAGUUCAAGAUUAAUGCUUAUGACUGGAGAAUGCUGUUGGCUUUUGGGAGUCACUGUGAAAAUGGCAUAAUUGAUUGGUAAAACCUGAGGAUAGAACUCUGCAGAACUUUGGUUGCAAACCUCCUCCAUUAACUUUGUUAAUUUAUAGGAAGGUGUUCAAGGUGUUCAAGAAGGCUGCAUAGCACUUGAACAUGAUCUAUCUGGUGAAUUUCUGGCUGAGUCAGUUGUGUAUCUUCCUUGUGUUGCCUAGCUUCCUGCUUCUUAAUCUUGCCCUGUUUUAGUCAACAGCCUGUGCAUCCUUCUCUCCACAAGUCUUUUGUCCUUGACUCUUGCCCGCUGAACUCCAUAGGAUCUUUGCUUUCUUGAUCCUAAGAAGCCCUCUGUUUUCACCAGUACACGCUCUGCCAUUUUGAAAUACAGAUUAGGUGCUGAAAGCACGUGUGGAAUAGCACGUUUUUGUGACUUGCUGUUGAGAGAUUUUGGGCUGGCUCUGCCUGCCAUGCCUGUGUCACAUUUCAGUAUGUUAUAAUUCUGGAGUAGUUUGUCUAUAAUUCUGUGUAGUUUGUCUCUGAAAGCAAGCAAAUUUCAAGUGGCUGUUUUUAGGUCUUGAAGUCCUGGUAUCCUCAAUUGGGUGCACAAGUUUGCAUUCAAGGAUGAUUUUAUUGAGCUGAGAACUCCACUAUUCCUUUGUGAGCCUGGAUUUUUUUAUCAACUUUUUGCAGUUUCUCCCCAGCUGCUUGAGUUUAUUCACUGAGGCAAACAGAACCAUUAAUGUUGGAAGUGUUUUUUAGUCAUGAAUAUGGCUAAGAAUAAUCCUGUGAGGGGAAACUGCUGGGGCAUACCAGUGUGCUACCCACUGGAAAACAGUUGAUACUUCACCAAAUGAUGUUGCUGGAAUGGUGAUACAAACAUUUUACCAGACCUGGUCUACUCUCAGUAGACCCACCUAAUCAGUUUGCAGUUUGAUGACCAGAAGUGCUGUCUGGGGUUGCAAGCUAGGGGCAUGUGAAAGGAAAAGCUUAUGAGAUCUUCAGAAGGCCCUGUAAAAGGGGAACCACUCCUUCCCAGUCUUUGGUAGGUGAGGAAGUUGAUUUCUCUCGUAGAAAUACUUCUAGGCUUAUUCAUAUCACAAACUAUUUUCUUGCUUACUCUGACAUACUUUGCAAAAAUAUCUCUAUGGGAAGAGAAAUAGCCCUUUCCAUAUGCUUUUAUUUCUGUUUCAUUGUCAGUACAGCACUGAAAUCUAAUCUGUGUUAACCUGAACAGCAGCAGAGGUGUAUCUGACUUAAUUAGAAAAGGGACUGUUUUGUCAUUUGAUGAUUGCUGGUGCCCAGGCAAUGCAGAAGAGGUAAAUCGGAGUGACCUCCACAUCUGUGCAGGCACACAGGCAGACCAGGGAAGUGCCUGGUUAAAUUAACAUGCACUGAUAAUAACUAAUUUUUGUAGUGAGUGUGCCUAUCUUCAGCUUCUACUUUUAAAAUCUUUUUUAUUUAUUACUUCCCAAAACUAAGAUCUGAAGUCUUUGUGUAGUUUUGCUUUUGAUCUUGAUGAAGUUCUGGCAUGGAUUAAAUGGUGGUUUCCUUUCUUUUUUUUUUUUCUUCAGCAUCAUAGACAAAGAAGUGUCAUUAAUGGCAGAAAUUGACAAAGUUAAAGAAGAAGCCAUGGAAAUCCUGACUGCUCGGCAGAAGAAAGCUGAAGAGCUGAAGAGGCUGACGGACCUUGCCAGUCAAAUGGCUGAAGCGCAACUGUCUGAACUCAGGGCUGAAAUUAAGCACUUUGUGAGUGAACGGAAAUAUGAUGAAGAGCUGGGCAGGUCUGCCCGAUUUUCCUGUGACACAGAACAGCUGAAGACCCAAAUUCAGCUCUGUGGAGAGAGUAAGUGUUGGUGGUUUAUCAUACCUACGAUCUCAGAAUGUAGCAUUCCAAAUACCUGUCCAGGAAAUGCUGGGCAGAGGUAAUGGUAUGUCUACUGCCAGAGUGUGUGUGUAGCAAGUCUGAUGUGAAUGGUAUGUCAACACAGGAGGUUUGUUGAGCGUGCAUACAUCGCUUUUACAAUUUGCAUCAUACUGUACACAGUGUACAUGUGUUGCACAGACCAUCUGCACGUGUACAGUUGCCUUCUUUGUCAGAGAUUUUCAGAUAUUACUGAGGUCAGCUAAGUUUUCCAUCUAAAUGGAAAGUCAACUGUAGAGAACUCUCAAAUUCAAUAGCUACUUAUGAAAAACUAGUAAAUUGGAAACUUUUCUGUGUGAGCACAGUAUUAUGAGAUCAGUUAAUCUGUCUCCUGCUCAGAAGCAAGUUCCCAUCUGUACAAGAAUAUUCAGUGAGUUUUUCAGGAGCAAAGGUAAUCCCAAAUACUACUUUUAUGAAACCAUCUGCCUUUCUGCUUGGAAAUUCGUAUUCAUCUUCUGCUCUAUAUAUCAUGUUCCUGACGUAAAACGUGAGAUAGACUCUUUCUCAUAUUUGUCAAGCUUUUAUCCUCCCCAAAAAGUAAAUGCUAUGAUGCUUUGCUCCAUGUCAUCCUGCUGUAUAAUAUUCCAUUAGCACCAUCAAUCAGGAGAAAAACUACUAACACAAUACCAAACUACUGUAUUUUGGUGAAAGGAAAAUAAUUUUAGGAAGGAAAUAAGUAGUGUUUCUAAGGAGUUACUAAA